AAGGCCUGGUGGGUAACGGGAAUCUACAACCUUUUUUUUAUAUAUAUAUACACGAAACCUCGUAUCCGAAAGUCCAAUUCUACAUUCAAAGUAAGACUUUAAUUAAGCAUCGAACCAAUUCACGUCAGUGAAUCUGCAGCAUUUUCAAUUGGGACGGGAAGUCGAUGUAACUCGCUUUCCUUUCCUCUGCCUUGCCCCGACGCUUCUUGUCUGUGGGGUGUGAGACUGAGCGUGAGUGAGUGAGUGGCACUCGUUCCCCCUAGACUGGACUGGAAAGCCAUGGGUUCCCUUUUCUUCAAGCUUCGUCAUCCUCUGCUUCACCAGCUACAGUUUAAGAAGGUUGAGCCCCUCGCCUCCUCCUCCUCCUCCUUCUCUCGACGAUUCAAGUCAUCAUCAUUGACUUGGCUCUUCUCUUCUUCCUCUGGAGCUGAAAUCGAAAAAGAGUAUACUCAGUCUCAGAGUCAGAAUCAGAGUCUAACCCAGGAGGAGUUGGCCAGCAUUAACCUCCUCAUCCCCCGCCUGUGCUUCAUCAACCAGCUCGCCACUGCCAUCCGCCUCAUCUCCGCUGCGCUUCUCCUCCCACAUCCACCCCCUCUCCACUCCCUCUCCCUCCCCGUCCUCAUUCACUCCCUCUCCUCCCAACCCGACUUAUCCCUCUCCGCUUCCCUCCUUACUCGGCUCCAACGCUCCUCUCCACCUCAGCUCACCCCAGUUGCCACACUUCUCAUCGUUUACUACCUCAAGAACCGCAGGCCCCGCGACGCCCUCCAGCUGUUCGACGAUUGGUUGAUGAGACCGGGCUCUUCUUCGUGCCUGCCCCACCCUGCAUCCUCUGGACUUCUGCUGGGUGCUUUCUGUCGGAAUGGGAUGGUGUUCGAAGCUCUCAAGGUAUUGAGUGCCAUGCUGGCUUCGAAUGUCAUCCCCGGCAGCAAUCUGAGGAGGUCCCUCCACAGGAGUUUGCUGAGGGAAGCUAGGAUUGCAGAAGCCGUGGAACUGGAUCGGGCUUUAGCCAAAGCUUCAUCUGACCGCACCGGUGGUGGCAAGAGAGAGGCUGCGCUGCUGCUGGAUCGUAUCUUCAGAGAUUGGACUGAAUGAAUAUAAUGAAUGAAUGAAUGAAUGAGAGUUUGCUUUGAGUUGGGUGGCGGCACUUGUAACGUACAAUGUAAUAGCGGUGCAUCUAAUUUUUCUGGAUCUUCAUCCGGAUAUUCAGCACCUUGCUUAUUUCUAACUUGCAGCCAAGAUGAUGCCGUGUCCAUAUAGCUAGAUUGUAUGAUCUUGUAAGUGCUUUAGUCUUUGGUUUGCUGAUGCAUGGAGAAGGAAAGUUUAAAGGCAGGAAGAGAGGAGCCCAGCAGAUAGAUCCGCAAAAGCUGAUGCUCUCGGCCAGCCGCUCUACUACUUCAUCAAAUUCAAGGAGCGAGGGAAUGUGGCAGAUCAGUUGAAUGUAUCACUGAGGACUUGUUCAUCCUUUUUUCUUGGAUGACUCUGAGUUACCUGGCUGGUUUAUCCUUUUGUUGUUGGAAAACAAUUUGAAUUGAAAUGGGUUGGAAGCUGGUACAUUAACCGAUCUUGUAUAUAGGUCGAUUGACCCGUCUCAAGUGCUUUAGGACAGGACAGUUUCCAUUCCUGUUUGAAGGGAGCCAGCAAUCUAUCCAUAUCUAUCUAUAUAUAUAGUAAUUCAAAGAACUUUCGGC
This is a non-coding RNA of Punica granatum (pomegranate), 1691 nucleotides long. Lineage: Eukaryota; Viridiplantae; Streptophyta; Magnoliopsida; Myrtales; Lythraceae. The record is from RefSeq and is a predicted model, not a curated record.